RNAcentral lists this ribosomal RNA (234 nucleotides) under uncultured bacterium. Its description in RNAcentral is "partial 16S ribosomal RNA". It matches the Rfam family "Bacterial small subunit ribosomal RNA", at positions 118 to 348 of the family's 1533-position model. The record is from RNAcentral.
UGAGGAACAUGACCUUCGGCGGGGGAUAGCCGGCCCAACGGCCGGGUAAUACCGCGUACGACCACAUGGGGACAUCCCUGAGUGGUGAAAGCAGCAAUGCGCCGAUGGAGUGCCUCGCGGCCUAUCAGCUAGUUGGUGAGGUAACGGCUCACCAAGGCGACGACGGGUAGCUGGUCCGAGAGGAUGGCCAGCCACAUUGGGACUGAGACACGGCCAGACCUCCCGUAGGGACGG